GUAGGUGAACCUGCGGAAGGAUCAUUACAGAGUUCAUGCCCUCGCGGGUAGAUCUCCCACCCUUGAAUAUUAUACCUUCGUUGCUUUGGUAGGCCGUGGAAACACCACGGGCCCCGGCUUGUGCGUGCCUGCCAGAGGAUACAUCAAAACUCCUGUUUUAACGGUGUUGUCUGAGCUACAAGCAACGAAUCAAAACUUUCAACAACGGAUCUCUUGGUUCUGGCAUCGAUGAAGAACGCAGCAUCUGACU
This 250-nucleotide unclassified non-coding RNA is filed under the name plant metagenome. RNAcentral's name for it is "partial contains small subunit ribosomal RNA, internal transcribed spacer 1, and 5.8S ribosomal RNA". The stretch from base 194 to 250 matches the Rfam family "5.8S ribosomal RNA", at positions 1 to 54 of the family's 154-position model. The record is from RNAcentral.